This 480-nucleotide ribosomal RNA is filed under the name uncultured bacterium. Its description in RNAcentral is "bacterial SSU rRNA". It matches the Rfam family "Bacterial small subunit ribosomal RNA", at positions 30 to 506 of the family's 1533-position model. The record is from RNAcentral.
UUGAACGCUGGCGGCAUGCCUUACACAUGCAAGUCGAACGGUAACAGCUCUUCGGAGGCUGACGAGUGGCGAACGGGUGAGUAAUACAUCGGAACGUGCCCGAUCGUGGGGGAUAACGGAGCGAAAGCUUUGCUAAUACCGCAUACGAUCUACGGAUGAAAGCAGGGGACCCUCGGGCCUUGCGCGAACGGAGCGGCCGAUGGCAGAUUAGGUAGUUGGUGGGAUAAAAGCUUACCAAGCCGACGAUCUGUAGCUGGUCUGAGAGGACGACCAGCCACACUGGGACUGAGACACGGCCCAGACUCCUACGGGAGGCAGCAGUGGGGAAUUUUGGACAAUGGGCGAAAGCCUGAUCCAGCAAUGCCGCGUGCAGGAUGAAGGCCUUCGGGUUGUAAAGCUCUUUCAGACGGAAAGAAAACGCAUCGGUGAAUACCCGGUGUGGAUGACGGUACCGUAAGAAGAAGCACCGGCUAACUACGU